AAGCGCUUACAACCAGACUUGCACGUAGUUGAUCAUCCGGGGUUCUCCCCGGUGCACUUGGCUACGUUCAGGCCAGCAUCGGUUUUGGUGGUUGGAUAAAGGCCUAGGGAAUGUGGCUCUC
This 121-nucleotide ribosomal RNA is filed under the name Leotiomycetes sp. RNAcentral's name for it is "partial large subunit ribosomal RNA". Lineage: Eukaryota; Fungi; Ascomycota; Leotiomycetes. The record is from RNAcentral.